This 874-nucleotide ribosomal RNA is filed under the name uncultured Bacillota bacterium. RNAcentral describes it as "bacterial SSU rRNA". It matches the Rfam family "Bacterial small subunit ribosomal RNA", at positions 1 to 863 of the family's 1533-position model. The record is from RNAcentral. Lineage: Bacteria; Bacillati; Bacillota.
UGGAUCCAGACUUUGAUUAUGGCUCAGGAUGAACGCUGGCGGCGUGCUUAACACAUGCAAGUCGAACGGGGAUGUUAUGCGUGAGGAAUCAGCUUGCUGAUGACAAACAAAUAACAUCUUAGUGGCGGACGGGUGAGUAACGCGUGGGCAACCUGCCUUAUACCGGGGGAUAACACUUAGAAAUAGGUGCUAAUACCGCAUAAGCGCACGGCAUCGCAUGAUGCAGUGUGAAAAACUCCGGUGGUAUAAGAUGGACCCGCGUCUGAUUAGCUAGUUGGCGGGGUAAAGGCCCACCAAGGCAGCGAUCAGUAGCCGGCCUGAGAGGGUGGACGGCCACAUUGGGACUGAGACACGGCCCAAACUCCUACGGGAGGCAGCAGUGGGGAAUAUUGCACAAUGGGGGAAACCCUGAUGCAGCGACGCCGCGUGAGUGAAGAAGUAUUUCGGUAUGUAAAGCUCUAUCAGCAGGGAAGAAAAGAAGACGGUACCUGACUAAGAAGCCCCGGCUAACUACGUGCCAGCAGCCGCGGUAAUACGUAGGGGGCAAGCGUUAUCCGGAUUUACUGGGUGUAAAGGGAGCGUAGACGGUGAAGCAAGUCUGGAGUGAAAGGCCGGGGCUCAACCCCGGGACUGCUUUGGAAACUGUUUGACUGGAGUACAGGAGAGGUAAGUGGAAUUCCUAGUGUAGCGGUGAAAUGCGUAGAUAUUAGGAGGAACACCAGUGGCGAAGGCGGCUUACUGGACUGUAACUGACGUUGAGGCUCGAAAGCGUGGGGAGCAAACAGGAUUAGAUACCGUGGUAGUCCACGCCGUAAACGAUGAUUACUAGGUGUCGGGGAGUAAUAACUCUCCGGUGCCGCAGCCAACGCAAUAA